Molecule: long non-coding RNA, 939 nt
Filed under: Nicotiana benthamiana
Lineage: Eukaryota; Viridiplantae; Streptophyta; Magnoliopsida; Solanales; Solanaceae
Description: long non-coding RNA (NBEN_LNC027030)
Source: RNAcentral
GUUGGGAAUAAAAUAUUAAUUCCCACUUUACUCGGUCGUUGAACAAAAUGAAAAAUAACACAAGCAAUCGGAACACCAAAAUUUACGUGGAAAACCCUCCCAAAUUUAGAGGGAAAAACCACGGGCCAAACUCCGAGAAAUAUCCACUAUAAAAACAAUGGUACACCAAAAUCUCAAGUGACCAAGUUGAGAAAUACAAAAAAAAAUAGAGACGAUACAAGAACACCCUUUGGGACAAAUAUUGUACCCAAAGAAACCUCACAAACACUCUUGUAUAAUAUACACUCUAAUUUUUGGACACUAACUACCACUCACCAAAUUGUGAGUAACUCUCAAAAUUCUCUCUCGGAUAUAACACAAAAGGAAUUGUGUUGGUGUUAUUUUAGCUUGCUCCCAAAUGGCCUUUAUAUAGGCAAAGAAUGUGUUUGGUGAAAAACAAGGUUGGUGGGCUUGGUAACCUAUCAAUUUGAACAAAUGAGUUGGCCAGCAUAUGUGAGGAAAAUCAAAGUCAAUAUUAAACACCAACCAUUUUUUGACAAAACAAAGCCUCUGCCGAACAAGCCAAAUAAAUCUCCUGUGCACCUGUUGAAUAAAGAAAUCGGUGCAAGUGGGAUAGAAAAAAUCCGGUGGAAUUGCGGCUGCACCUUUUCACAUGGUUGAGAGAUUAUUCAACAAUCUCCCCUCUCUCACCCAUGUUAAUAUGACUCCAUUACUUGGAGCGUAUACCUGCAACGCUUCUACAGAACUCAAAUUUCUCCCGAGUCACCACUUUCGUCAGCAUGUCUGACGGGUUCUCAUCGGUAUGAAUCUUGAAUUGUGGCUGCACCUUUUCACAUGGUUGAGAGAUUAUUCAACAAUCUCCCCCUCUCUUACUCAUGUUAAUAUGACUCCAUUACUUGGAGCGUAUACCUGCAACGUUUCUACAGAACUCAAAUUNNN